Non-coding RNA from Misgurnus anguillicaudatus (oriental weatherfish), 2782 nucleotides. The record is from RefSeq and is a predicted model, not a curated record. Lineage: Eukaryota; Metazoa; Chordata; Actinopteri; Cypriniformes; Cobitidae.
GUGCCAGACAAGAGACAAUACCACCACAAGACAUAUAUCCAGACAGCGCAGAAUACAAUAGGACAAACUAUACAAACCACAAUAUACAUUAUACACAGUAUCCCAAUGCCGUUUCAUCUGACACACGCGGUUUGCCACGGUUACGUGUCUGGCCCGAAGUUAACUUUCGAUCUUGUUUAUCAGUCUGAAUAGUGACUAAACUGGCCUCUGACACCUUGUUAGGGAAAUUUAGGGAUUUAAGGAUACGUAGAUAAUAUUUUGUACAUGUUUAAACAGUACCGGAAGUUAACAAAAGCUAUAUGUUUAUGUUGGUGCCUAUACGUUAUACACAGUAACAUUAUACAUAGCAGACAUACACAGAAGAUAUACACAUAAUAUACACACGAAAUACACAGAGAACCCACAUUAAGUAUUUCCAAGACAUAUUAGUUUUGCAUGACAAACAGUGUGAAAUUUUGUUGGAUAUUUACUGAAAAAGUUUCACUGGCAGCAGAUUCGGCAUGUAGGUCAGUUUAUGAGCCUUAAUCCGCAUUAUUCAUUAGAAAGAACUUACUCAACCCAAACACUGUGCUGUAUUAUGCAUGAGACACUAACACUUCUGUCAUCUGCUAACCCUCACUGUUGUUGUUUAGAGACAUGGAUCCUCAUGAAUGUGUUUCCUUAGUUGCUCAACACAAAAGUAUUGGCUAUUGGUUAUUUAUAAAGCACAUAUAAAAACAACCAUACGGUUGACCAAAGAGACAAUGCAUUAGAAACAAUACAUAAAAAGAUCACUUUUUUAAAAUAAAAUACACACAACUAAAUUAAUUUGUUGUUAAACACCAUGGAUAAAAAUAAGAUUUAAGCUUUGAACAUGGAAAGAGGAUGUGUACUGUUUGAAUUGACACACAACCAGGGCUUUUUUUACCACUUUGGGGGUAGGGAAGGAUUCCCCCCCCCACUGUUCAUUAUACACAAAUAUAUUUAGUUACAUUAAAACAUACACAUUUAUUUUUAAGACAAAAUACAAGUGUAAUGUGUUAUGCUAAAUCAAUUUGUUAUUCACUCUAGUUUACCUAACUACCUAUCUUUAAACUAAAGUAAUUGGUUUACUUUUGCGAUUCAAACUAUCGAAUGUGACGUCAUUUUAACGACUUCCACGAAGACGGCGCGCAGGUGACGGUGUUUCCGGUAAGUAAACUAAAUAAGUUUUUUCUUCAAUCUAUCUUAAAACAUUGUUGAGGCAACUUUAUUUUAUGUUGAAGUCGAUGAUGUUUGUGUUUGAUGGUGAUGAUUUCCAAUGCUGCUUACCAUAUAAAAAAAACAUGCAACGCUGAGGUGAACUACUGCCCUUACCAUCCACAAAUGGAGACAUCCAAAACACUGGAAGUAGUCAGUGUAAUACUUCUGUCUGAAAUUAAAAAGAACAAUGAGAAAACAUUAUGAAUGCUGAUGGACAAGACCUUUUCUAUCAGGAGACAUGAGGUUGUCAAGGAAUCUCCUUCAAUAGCAGAUUUCAAAACUAGAUGGCCUGCUCUUUUCAGAAGGGAAGAGAUUUGUGCAGAGUUUAAAAGAACCGCAACAGCCCCAUUGGUGUCUACAUACUUGGCGAAGAUGGAUCAAUAUUCUGCUAAGCUUAUAAGGAUCUAUGCAAAACGAGGAGUCGUCAAUGGAAAGAGAAUUAAAAACCUGCUGAUUUCCACAAAACAGACUGACAACAUUGAUCAGACUCUGAUCUUUCUUUGUCUACGUGAAUGAAGACCCGACCAGUCUAAUUAAAGAGUAUUUGGAUACAGAUGCACCCAGUACCCAGGAGGCGAUCCAGAAGAUGGUGAUGGGAGUGCUUGUUGUAUAAAUGUAUGGUUCAGACAUCGAAGACAGCCCAGCAGAUGUUGGAGUGUUAUUGAAGAGAUUAAGAGUUCUUGGACCUCAACAACAUUGUGUAUGCGACAACCAUGCUGAUGGGACUGAUAUAUGCACUGAACUUGAGCUACUUUCCUGAAUUCAGGUACACUUUUGAAGUAUUGCAGUUGUUGUUUCUGGAGCUAGAUGGGAAGUAACUAUCUCAUAAAGUUCAAACGCUGAAGACCAAGCCUUUUGCAGAUGUUUUGAGCAAGGAAUGUUUUAAUAUUUCAUAUGUAAAUGCCAUGUUUUUGAAAUGGCAGUACAACAACAUUCGGGAAGUAAGCAGUGUCAUCAAUUAAUUUUGAUAGUUUUGCAGUGUGUUUUUAUUUAAUUAGAUUAAUGUAGAGUUGUUUAAAGCUUUGGCUGUAUGUAAAUGGUGGUGCAUCUAAUUUGUCAUGGAACGUUAACGUUUAUAAUGUUGUUACAGUAACAUUUUACUUAAAAUAUACCAAAGUUGUUGAAAAAUCUUUGAAAGUCGCAUGUGCCAGCUCUCUGAAUGGAGUGCAUCCUAUUUUGUCAGUUAGCAUUACAGUUGUGUAAUACUGUUGUUUAAUUAUACUUCUCCGGGGGCUUGAAAACUGCCUGAAUGGUGCUUCGUGCAUUUCAUUUGUCAGUAACUGUAAAGAAUUGUAAUGUUGUUAUAAGGUUACAUUGUAAUAUCCAAAGUCCUUGAAAAACUUUGCAAGCUUUUCAAGUUGAUGAGUGCAUCUCAUUUGUCGCUAUAUCCUUUACGGUAUCUGUAGUUUAAGUGCAAUAAACAUGGCUUGAAGAACUGGUGUCUGAGAUUCUUUUAUGAAUAAAAUGAAUGCUAUAUAGAGUUUAUUACAAAAAGUAUAUUUUUGUGUGUGAUGUACUUGAAAUAGAAAUUGUUGUGUUAAAGUAACUAAAAGUAAUUGGA